Long non-coding RNA from Pyrgilauda ruficollis (rufous-necked snowfinch), 535 nucleotides. RefSeq lists it as uncharacterized. Lineage: Eukaryota; Metazoa; Chordata; Aves; Passeriformes; Passeridae. The transcript is spliced from 3 exons. The record is from RefSeq and is a predicted model, not a curated record.
GGACUUGCUAGGAAACAGGAAGUAAAUGGAGUGUCUUGUGGAGAUGCCUUCUAGGGAGAGCUGACUGCCAGCCAAAAAAUCCAUCCAGCUACAAAAGCAGCUGUUUCAGCCCAAAGAAUUUUUUGGUUGCAGCUGGCUGUGCUGUGCCCUGCAUCAGCCUCCAGAGAGCCUGUAUCACAGGGCAGGAGACCUUUCAGCUGGAGAAGUCAGCCACUGUUCAAGCUUGACCCAGAUUCUGAGGCUUUCAUCUGGAGAGCUUCCUCACUGAUUUUCAGCCUUGGCUGUGUGAAUUUGUCUCCAGACCAUUCUGGAAAUGUAAGAGCUGGGGAAUCAUCUGGCUCUUGCUGGAAGCAAGAGCACCCACUGGGAGCUGUUCUACCAGGUGGGAGAGAAUGGUCAUGGUCAGAUUAACCCUGAGCUCAGCUGAGGCCCAGAGCAGUAGGAACCUUGCUGCAUUCACAGUCUGGGCCUGGGAGAACUGCAAGGGGCAUGGAUGUUUCUGAAGGAUGUAGAACAGACUGAUCUAGUGACUGGA